UCUCCGUAGGUGAACCUGCGGAGGGAUCAUUACAGAGUUCUCGCCCUCACGGGUAGUUCUCCCACCCACUGUUAUCGUUACUGUCGUUUCUUUGGCGGUCCUCCGGAUCCCCGGCCGCCGGCGCCUAGCUGCCGGCGCGCGCCCGGCAGAGGCCUUCAAACUCUGAAUGUUAGUGUCGUCUGAGUACUAUAUAAUAGUUAAAACUUUCAACAACGGAUCUCUUGGUUCUG
Molecule: unclassified non-coding RNA, 230 nt
Filed under: plant metagenome
Description: partial contains small subunit ribosomal RNA, internal transcribed spacer 1, and 5.8S ribosomal RNA
Source: RNAcentral